This 468-nucleotide ribosomal RNA is filed under the name uncultured bacterium. RNAcentral's name for it is "partial 16S ribosomal RNA". It matches the Rfam family "Bacterial small subunit ribosomal RNA", at positions 28 to 507 of the family's 1533-position model. The record is from RNAcentral.
GACGAACGCUGGCGGCGUGCUUAACACAUGCAAGUCGAACGGAAAGGCCCUGCUUUUGUGGGGUGCUCGAGUGGCGAACGGGUGAGUAACACGUGAGUAACCUGCCCUUGACUUUGGGAUAACUUCAGGAAACUGGGGCUAAUACCGGAUCGGAGCUCCUGCUGCAUGGUGGGGGUUGGAAAGUUUCGGCGGUUGGGGAUGGACUCGCGGCUUAUCAGCUUGUUGGUGGGGUAGUGGCUUACCAAGGCUUUGACGGGUAGCCGGCCUGAGAGGGUGACCGGCCACAUUGGGACUGAGAUACGGCCCAGACUCCUACGGGAGGCAGCAGUGGGGAAUAUUGCACAAUGGGCGGAAGCCUGAUGCAGCAACGCCGCGUGCGGGAUGACGGCCUUCGGGUUGUAAACCGCUUUCGCCUGUGACGAAGCGGGAGUGACGGUAAUGGGUAAAGAAGCACCGGCUAACUACGUG